UCAAUGGACGAGAGUCUGAACCAGCCAAGUCGCGUGAGGGAAGACUGCCCUAUGGGUUGUAAACCUCUUUUAUAAGGGAAGAAUAAGUUCUACGUGUAGAAUGAUGCCUGUACCUUAUGAAUAAGCAUCGGCUAACUCCGUGCCAGCAGCCGCGGUAAUACGGAGGAUGCGAGCGUUAUCCGGAUUUAUUGGGUUUAAAGGGUGCGUAGGCGGUUUAUUAAGUUAGUGGUUAAAUAUUUGAGCUAAACUCAAUUGUGCCAUUAAUACUGGUAAACUGGAGUACAGACGAGGUAGGCGGAAUAAGUUAAGUAGCGGUGAAAUGCAUAGAUAUAACUUAGAACUCCGAUAGCGAAGGCAGCUUACCAGACUGUAACUGACGCUGAUGCACGAGAGCGUGGGUAGCGAACAGGAUUAGAUACCCUGGUAGUCCACGCCGUAAACGAUGCUCACUGGUUCUGUGCGAUAUAUUGUACGGGAUUAAGCGAAAGUAUUAAGUGAGCCACCUGGGGAGUACGUCGGCAACGAUGAAACUCAAAGGAAUUGACGGGGGCCCGCACAAGCGGAGGAACAUGUGGUUUAAUUCGAUGAUACGCGAGGAACCUUACCUGGGUUUAAAUGGGAAAUGUCGUAUUUGGAAACAGAUAUUCUCUUCGGAGCGUUUUUCAAGGUGCUGCAUGGUUGUCGUCAGCUCGUGCCGUGAGGUGUCGGGUUAAGUCCCAUAACGAGCGCAACCCUUACCGUUAGUUGCUAGCAUGUAAUGAUGAGCACUCUAACGGGACUGCCACCGUAAGGUGAGAGGAAGGCGGGGAUGACGUCAAAUCAGCACGGCCCUUACACCCAGGGCUACACACGUGUUACAAUGGCCGGUACAGAGGGCCGCUACCAGGUGACUGGAUGCCAAUCUCAAAAGCCGGUCGUAGUUCGGAUUGGAGUCUGUAACCCGACUCCAUGAAGUUGGAUUCGCUAGUAAUCGCGCAUCAGCC
Molecule: ribosomal RNA, 983 nt
Filed under: human gut metagenome
Description: bacterial SSU rRNA
Rfam family: Bacterial small subunit ribosomal RNA
Source: RNAcentral